AUGUCUGCGGAGCUCUCUCAUUUCGCUCCACACGGACUCAGAGCGGAAGUCGCUCCUAGUCCGCGCCUUUGCUUUUCUCCACGCGGCAGGGGUCUGCACCGGGUGCCCCCCUUCCGGCCACGCGAGCCUCCUCGCCGCAGUGUCGUCCUCCAGAAGGGUGUUGACAGGGUCCCGGACUUCAACCUGUACCCGCCCCCUUCCCGCCCAGCUCUUCGGAGAUGCGCGGCUCGCGAGGGGCUGCCAGCUGUUUUGUUCAUGACUGCUCAUAGGAGGCCCUUGACAAAGGUAAGUUGCCUGAAUGAACGACUACUGUGUACAGGUGAGUACAGGUAUUAACUUUCUAUUCCUGACGGCAUUUUACAGAGGAGGGGCUGGAAGUAUCCUAAGUGUCAGAGCUGGGAUUUGAACCCAGGGUGGACGUCUUCUACUGGCAAGUGUUUCUCUGAUUUCCCUCUUCGCCUGGAGUAUGCACGUCUAGAAUGGCCCGGAAGUGAGUUCAUCCAUCCUGCACCCCUGGUCAGGUGCUUCCCACCUCCCUGGCCCAGGGCCUCAAGGUCCCCGUGUUCGCGUCUCAGGUGUGCCAGCUCUGCCGCGGUCCCAGGCCCUGGGAACGGGUUGGCUUGCGG
This 626-nucleotide long non-coding RNA is filed under the name Sus scrofa (pig). RNAcentral's name for it is "lncRNA (ENSSSCG00025039377.1, ENSSSCG00040021343.1, ENSSSCG00065048449.1)". Lineage: Eukaryota; Metazoa; Chordata; Mammalia; Artiodactyla; Suidae. The record is from RNAcentral.